This 253-nucleotide ribosomal RNA is filed under the name uncultured bacterium. RNAcentral describes it as "partial 16S ribosomal RNA". It matches the Rfam family "Bacterial small subunit ribosomal RNA", at positions 524 to 776 of the family's 1533-position model. The record is from RNAcentral.
UACGUAGGGUGCAAGCGUUAUCCGGAAUUAUUGGGCGUAAAGAGCUCGUAGGCGGUUUGUCGCGUCUGCCGUGAAAGUCCGGGGCUCAACCCCGGAUCUGCGGUGGGUACGGGCAGACUAGAGUGCAGUAGGGGAGACUGGAAUUCCUGGUGUAGCGGUGAAAUGCGCAGAUAUCAGGAGGAACACCGAUGGCGAAGGCAGGUCUCUGGGCUGUAACUGACGCUGAGGAGCGAAAGCAUGGGGAGCGAACAGG